This is a regulatory RNA element of Patagioenas fasciata monilis, 47 nucleotides long. It matches the Rfam family "Histone 3' UTR stem-loop". From Rfam's summary of the family: The mRNAs of metazoan histone genes lack a poly-A tail. 3' end processing occurs at a site between a highly conserved stem-loop (modelled by this family) and a purine rich region around 20 nts downstream (the histone downstream element, or HDE). NCBI's taxonomy places the organism in Eukaryota, Metazoa, Chordata, Aves, Columbiformes, Columbidae. The record is from Rfam.
CCAAAGGCUCUUUUAAGAGCCACCACAUGUGCACUGAAGAGAGCUGU